AAAAGUAAGUAAGGGCACAUGGCGGAUGCCUUGGCUCUCGGAGGCGAUGAAGGACGUGAUAAGCUGCGAUAAGCUGCGGGUAGGUGCAAAUGACCUUUGAUCCGCGGAUUUCCGAAUGGGACAACCCGGUACUUUGAAGAAGUAUCAUCCUGCAUUGCAGGAGGCUAACGCAGGGAACUGAAACAUCUUAGUACCUGCAGGAAAAGAAAAUAAACAAUGAUUCCCCCAGUAGUGGCGAGCGAACGGGGAAUAGCCCAAACCAUCCAUGUUACGGCAUGGGUGGGGUUGUAGGACCACGCCGUGGCAAGAAAGUUGGUGAGCAGAAUGUUCUGGAAAGUACAGCCAUAGAGCAUGACAGCUGCGUAUGCGAAGCCAAGCGAAGCCUAGUGGUAUCCUGAGUAGCGCGGAGCACGAGGAAUUCUGCGUGAAUCUGCCGGGACCAUCCGGUAAGGCUAAAUACUCCCGAGAGACCGAUAGUGAACCAGUACUGUGAAGGAAAGGUGAAAAGCACUUCGAACAGAAGAGUGAAAUAGUUCCUGAAACCAUGUGCCUACAAGCGGUCGGAGCACCUUCUGGUGUGACGGCGUGCCUUUUGCAUAAUGAACCUACGAGUUACUUUUUCCGGCGAGGUUAAGGAUUUCAGAUCUGCAGCCGAAGCGAAAGCGAGUCUGAACAGGGCGUAUAGUCGGAAGGAGUAGACGCGAAACCAAGUGAUCUACCCUUGGGCAGGUUGAAGGAUGGGUAACACCAUCUGGAGGACCGAACCAAUAAGCGUUGAAAAGCUUCUGGAUGACCUGAGGGUGGGGGUGAAAGGCUAAUCAAACUUGGAGAUAGCUCGUACUCCCCGAAAUGCAUUUAGGUGCAGCCUUGACUUAUACUGGCAUGAGGUAGAGCGACUGAUAAGAUGCGAGGGCUUCACCGCCUAUCAAGUCUUGACAAACUCCGAAUGCGUGUCAGUUCUAUGUCAGGAGUGAGGGCAUGGGUGCUAAGGUCCAUGUCCUAAAGGAGAACAAUCCGGACCAACAGCUAAGGUCCCGAAAUGAAUACUAAGUUGAACUAACGAAGUCAGAUUGCUAAGACAGCUAGGAUGUUGGCUUGGAAGCAGCCAUUCAUUUAAAGAGUGCGUAACAGCUCACUAGUCGAGGAGUUUGGCGUGGAUAAUAAUCGGGCAUAAGUAUUCUACCGAAGCUUUGGGAUGAGAAAUCAUCGGUAGGGGAGCAUUCCACUCGGCGUCGAAGGUGAAGCGCGAGCUUUGCUGGAGCGUGUGGAAAAGCAAAUGUAGGUAUAAGUAACGAUAAAGGGGGUGGGAAACCCCCUCGCCGAAAGACUAAGGUUUCCUGAUCAACGCUAAUCGGAUCAGGGUAAGUCGGGUCCUAAGGCUCAGCCGAACGGCGAGGCCGAUGGCAGAACCGGUUAAUAUUCCGGUACUACCUGUGGGAGUGACGUGGAGACGGAGUCGUGACAGCGCCGCGGACUGACGGAAUAGUCCGUUGAAGGGUGUAGAUGCUGAUUGUUCCAGGCAAAUCCGGAGCAAGAGUCGAACCUGACAGUAUGGAGCGUUCUUAGAACAAUCCAAUAGUGCGUGUAAUCAUACUUCCAAGAAAAUCCGCUAAACUUAAUCCUGCAGGUACCCGUACCGCAAACGGACACACGUAGUCGGGUUGAAUAUACUAAGGCGCUUGAGUGAUUCACGGUUAAGGAACUAGGCAAACUGACCCUGUAACUUCGGGAUAAAGGGUCCUCGCUUUACGGCGAGGCGCAGAGAAUAGGUCCAGGCAACUGUUUAACAAAAACACAGGGCUGUGCAAAAUUGAAAGAUGAAGUAUACAGCCUGACACCUGCCCGGUGCUGGAAGGUUAAGAGGAGAUGUCAUCGCAAGAGAAGCAUUGAAUUGAAGCCCCAGUAAACGGCGGCCGUAACUAUAACGGUCCUAAGGUAGCGAAAUUCCUUGUCGGGUAAGUUCCGACCUGCACGAAUGGUGUAAUGAUCUGGACGCUGUCUCAACCGUGAGCUCAGUGAAAUUGUAGUAUCGGUGAAGAUGCCGAUUACCCGCG
RNAcentral lists this ribosomal RNA (2054 nucleotides) under gut metagenome. RNAcentral's name for it is "bacterial LSU rRNA". It matches the Rfam family "Bacterial large subunit ribosomal RNA", at positions 1 to 2074 of the family's 2925-position model. The record is from RNAcentral.